The submitters of this non-coding RNA (81 nucleotides) gave its source as unclassified sequences. The record is from Rfam.
AGGACUAAAGGGUAGAAGGGUCAGCUACCGCCACAGAGAAGCUCUGGUAGGAGAUGUUGGGUUGACAGCCAGCUUAGUUCU